UCGAUUCCCUUAGUAGCGGCGAGCGAAACGGGAAGAGCCCAAACCAACAAGCUUGCUUGUUGGGGUUGUAGGACACUCUAUACGGAGUUACAAAGGACGACAUUAGACGAAUCAUCUGGAAAGAUGAAUCAAAGAAGGUAAUAAUCCUGUAGUCGAAAAUGUUGUCUCUCUUGAGUGGAUCCUGAGUACGACGGAGCACGUGAAAUUCCGUCGGAAUCUGGGAGGACCAUCUCCUAAGGCUAAAUACUCUCUAGUGACCGAUAGUGAACCAGUACCGUGAGGGAAAGGUGAAAAGCACCCCGGAAGGGGAGUGAAAUAGAACCUGAAACCGUGUGCUUACAAGUAGUCAGAGCCCGUUAAUGGGUGAUGGCGUGCCUUUUGUAGAAUGAACCGGCGAGUUACGAUUUGAUGCAAGGUUAAGCAGUAAAUGUGGAGCCGUAGCGAAAGCGAGUCUGAAUAGGGCGUUUAGUAUUUGGUCGUAGACCCGAAACCAGGUGAUCUACCCUUGGUCAGGUUGAAGUUCAGGUAACACUGAAUGGAGGACCGAACCGACUUACGUUGAAAAGUGAGCGGAUGAACUGAGGGUAGCGGAGAAAUUCCAAUCGAACCUGGAGAUAGCUGGUUCUCUCCGAAAUAGCUUUAGGGCUAGCCUCAAGUGAUGAUUAUUGGAGGUA
This 674-nucleotide ribosomal RNA is filed under the name Staphylococcus aureus. RNAcentral's name for it is "partial 23S ribosomal RNA". It matches the Rfam family "Bacterial large subunit ribosomal RNA", at positions 231 to 904 of the family's 2925-position model. Lineage: Bacteria; Bacillati; Bacillota; Bacilli; Caryophanales; Staphylococcaceae. The record is from RNAcentral.